Molecule: non-coding RNA, 31 nt
Filed under: Mus musculus (house mouse)
Lineage: Eukaryota; Metazoa; Chordata; Mammalia; Rodentia; Muridae
Source: RNAcentral
UCGAAUGCAGGUGAAGCCACUGCCACAAUGC